UACGAAGGGGGCUAGCGUUGCUCGGAAUCACUGGGCGUAAAGCGCACGUAGGCGGAUUGUUAAGUCAGGGGUGAAAUCCUGGAGCUCAACUCCAGAACUGCCUUUGAUACUGAAGAUCUUGAGUUCGGGAGAGGUGAGUGGAACUGCGAGUGUAGAGGUGAAAUUCGUAGAUAUUCGCAAGAACACCAGUGGCGAAGGCGACUUACUGGACACAUAUUGACGCUGAGGUGCGAAAGCGUGGGGAGCAAACAGG
Molecule: ribosomal RNA, 253 nt
Filed under: uncultured bacterium
Lineage: Bacteria
Description: partial 16S ribosomal RNA
Rfam family: Bacterial small subunit ribosomal RNA
Source: RNAcentral